GGAGUUAGCCGGUGCUUCUUCUGCGAGUAACGUCACAGAUGUAAGGUAUUAACUUACACCCUUUCCUCCUCGCUGAAAGUGCUUUACAACCCGAAGGCCUUCUUCACACACGCGGCAUGGCUGCAUCAGGGUUUCCCCCAUUGUGCAAUAUUCCCCACUGCUGCCUCCCGUAGGAGUCUGGGCCGUGUCUCAGUCCCAGUGUGGCUGAUCAUCCUCUCAGACCAGCUAGGGAUCGUCGCCUAGGUGAGCCUUUACCUCACCUACUAGCUAAUCCCACCUGGGCUUAUCCAUCAGCGCAAGGCCCGAAGGUCCCCUGCUUUCCCCCGUAGGGCGUAUGCGGUAUUAGCAGUCGUUUCCAACUGUUAUCCCCCACAAAUGGGCAAAUUCCCAGGCAUUACUCACCCGUCCGCCGCUCGUCAUCUUCAAAAGCAAGCUUUUGAAAUGUUACCGCUCGACUUGCAUGUGUUAGGCCUGCCGCCAGCGUUCAAUCUGAACCAUGAUCAAACUCUGA
This 511-nucleotide ribosomal RNA is filed under the name uncultured bacterium. Its description in RNAcentral is "partial 16S ribosomal RNA". The record is from RNAcentral.